This 425-nucleotide ribosomal RNA is filed under the name uncultured bacterium. RNAcentral describes it as "bacterial SSU rRNA". It matches the Rfam family "Bacterial small subunit ribosomal RNA", at positions 356 to 773 of the family's 1533-position model. The record is from RNAcentral.
GGGGAAUAUUGGACAAUGGGGGCAACCCUGAUCCAGCCAUGCCGCGUGUGUGAAGAAGGCCUUCGGGUUGUAAAGCACUUUAAGCGGGGAGGAAGGCCUGAUGGCUAAUAUCCAUCGGGAUUGACGUUACCCGCAGAUUAAGCACCGGCAAACUUCGUGCCAGCAGCCGCGGUAAUACGAAGGGUGCGAGCGUUAAUCGGAAUUACUGGGCGUAAAGCGCGCGUAGGUGGUUAAGUAAGCGAUCUGUGAAAGCCCCGGGCUUAACCUGGGAACUGCAGGUCGAACUGCUUGGCUAGAGUAUGGUAGAGGGGUGUGGAAUUUCCUGUGUAGCGGUGAAAUGCGUAGAUAUAGGAAGGAACGUCAGUGGCGAAGGCGACACCCUGGACCGAGACUGACACUGAGGCGCGAAAGCGUGGGGAGCAAAC